UUACCUAGUGUUAUAUAAAUAAUUUGGGAUUGUUGUUAGUUCUAUAUUUAGGUAUUGGACUUGUACAUUUGUUUUAAGUUUGUAUUGGACUUGUACAUGUUUUAAUGUGAUUUGUAUUGGACUUGUACAUUUGUUUUAACUUUGCAUU
Long non-coding RNA from Juglans microcarpa x Juglans regia, 148 nucleotides. RefSeq lists it as uncharacterized. The record is from RefSeq and is a predicted model, not a curated record. Lineage: Eukaryota; Viridiplantae; Streptophyta; Magnoliopsida; Fagales; Juglandaceae. The transcript has 2 exons.